This 450-nucleotide unclassified non-coding RNA is filed under the name Fusarium lichenicola. Its description in RNAcentral is "sequence contains 18S rRNA gene, ITS1, 5.8S rRNA gene, ITS2, 28S rRNA gene". The stretch from base 124 to 277 matches the Rfam family "5.8S ribosomal RNA". The record is from RNAcentral. Lineage: Eukaryota; Fungi; Ascomycota; Sordariomycetes; Hypocreales; Nectriaceae.
AACUUACCUACAACGUUGCCUCGGCGGGAACAGACGGCCCCGUAGAACGGGCCGCCCCCGCCAGAGGACCCCCUAACUCUGUUUCUAUAAUGUUUCUUCUGAGUAAACAAGCAAAUAAAUUAAAACUUUCAACAACGGAUCUCUUGGCUCUGGCAUCGAUGAAGAACGCAGCGAAAUGCGAUAAGUAAUGUGAAUUGCAGAAUUCAGUGAAUCAUCGAAUCUUUGAACGCACAUUGCGCCCGCCAGUAUUCUGGCGGGCAUGCCUGUUCGAGCGUCAUUACAACCCUCAGACCCCCGGGUCUGGCGUUGGGGAUCGGCGGAGCCCUUCUGCCGGGACAAAGCCGUCCCCCAAAUACAGUGGCGGUCACGCCGCAGCUUCCAUUGCGUAGUAGCUAACACCUCGCAACUGGAGAGCGGCGCGGCCAUGCCGUAAAACACCCAACUUCUGAA